Molecule: ribosomal RNA, 478 nt
Filed under: uncultured bacterium
Lineage: Bacteria
Description: partial 16S ribosomal RNA
Rfam family: Bacterial small subunit ribosomal RNA
Source: RNAcentral
GAUGAACGCUGGCGGCGUGCUUAACACAUGCAAGUCGAACGGGAAGUAUUUUAUUGAAACUUCGGUCGAUUUAAUUUAAUUCUAGUGGCGGACGGGUGAGUAACGCGUGGGUAACCUGCCUUAUACAGGGGGAUAACAGUAAGAAAUGGCUGCUAAUACCGCAUAAGCGCACAGAGCUGCAUGGCUCAGUGUGAAAAACUCCGGUGGUAGAAGAUGGACCCGCGUUGGAUUAGCUGGUUGGUGGGGUAACGGCCCACCAAGGCGACGAUCCAUAGCCGGCCUGAGAGGGUGAACGGCCACAUUGGGACUGAGACACGGCCCAGACUCCUACGGGAGGCAGCAGUGGGGAAUAUUGCACAAUGGGGGAAACCCUGAUGCAGCGACGCCGCGUGAAGGAAGAAGUAUCUCGGUAUGUAAACUUCUAUCAGCAGGGAAGAUGGUGACGGUACCUGACUAAGAAGCCCCGGCUAACUACGUG